This 433-nucleotide ribosomal RNA is filed under the name uncultured bacterium. Its description in RNAcentral is "partial 16S ribosomal RNA". It matches the Rfam family "Bacterial small subunit ribosomal RNA", at positions 29 to 507 of the family's 1533-position model. The record is from RNAcentral.
AACGAACGCUGGCGGCAUGCCUAACACAUGCAAGUCGAACGAGACCUUCGGGUCUAGUGGCGCACGGGUGCGUAACGCGUGGGAACCCGCCCUUAGGUUCGGAAUAACUCCCCGAAAGGGGUGCUAAUACCGGAUAAUGUCUUCGGACCAAAGAUUUAUCGCCUUUGGAUGGGCCCGCGUUGGAUUAGCUAGUUGGUAGGGUAAAAGCCUACCAAGGCGACGAUCCAUAGCUGGUCUGAGAGGAUGAUCAGCCACACUGGGACUGAGACACGGCCCAGACUCCUACGGGAAGCAGCAGUGGGGAAUAUUGGACAAUGGGCGAAAGCCUGAUCCAGCAAUGCCGCGUGAGUGAUGAAGGCCUUAGGGUUGUAAAGCUCUUUUACCCGGGAUGAUAAUGACAGUACCGGGAGAAUAAGCGCCGGCUAACUCCGUG